Molecule: ribosomal RNA, 1523 nt
Filed under: Salmonella enterica subsp. enterica serovar Enteritidis
Lineage: Bacteria; Pseudomonadati; Pseudomonadota; Gammaproteobacteria; Enterobacterales; Enterobacteriaceae
Description: bacterial SSU rRNA
Rfam family: Bacterial small subunit ribosomal RNA
Source: RNAcentral
UUAAAUUGAAGAGUUUGAUCAUGGCUCAGAUUGAACGCUGGCGGCAGGCCUAACACAUGCAAGUCGAACGGUAACAGGAAGCAGCUUGCUGCUUUGCUGACGAGUGGCGGACGGGUGAGUAAUGUCUGGGAAACUGCCUGAUGGAGGGGGAUAACUACUGGAAACGGUGGCUAAUACCGCAUAACGUCGCAAGACCAAAGAGGGGGACCUUCGGGCCUCUUGCCAUCAGAUGUGCCCAGAUGGGAUUAGCUUGUUGGUGAGGUAACGGCUCACCAAGGCGACGAUCCCUAGCUGGUCUGAGAGGAUGACCAGCCACACUGGAACUGAGACACGUAUUGCACAAUGGGCGCAAGCCUGAUGCAGCCAUGCCGCGUGUAUGAAGAAGGCCUUCGGGUUGUAAAGUACUUUCAGCGGGGAGGAAGGUGUUGUGGUUAAUAACCGCAGCAAUUGACGUUACCCGCAGAAGAAGCACCGGCUAACUCCGUGCCAGCAGCCGCGGUAAUACGGAGGGUGCAAGCGUUAAUCGGAAUUACUGGGCGUAAAGCGCACGCAGGCGGUCUGUCAAGUCGGAUGUGAAAUCCCCGGGCUCAACCUGGGAACUGCAUUCGAAACUGGCAGGCUUGAGUCUUGUAGAGGGGGGUAGAAUUCCAGGUGUAGCGGUGAAAUGCGUAGAGAUCUGGAGGAAUACCGGUGGCGAAGGCGGCCCCCUGGACAAAGACUGACGCUCAGGUGCGAAAGCGUGGGGAGCAAACAGGAUUAGAUACCCUGGUAGUCCACGCCGUAAACGAUGUCUACUUGGAGGUUGUGCCCUUGAGGCGUGGCUUCCGGAGCUAACGCGUUAAGUAGACCGCCUGGGGAGUACGGCCGCAAGGUUAAAACUCAAAUGAAUUGACGGGGGCCCGCACAAGCGGUGGAGCAUGUGGUUUAAUUCGAUGCAACGCGAAGAACCUUACCUGGUCUUGACAUCCACAGAAGAAUCCAGAGAUGGAUUUGUGCCUUCGGGAACUGUGAGACAGGUGCUGCAUGGCUGUCGUCAGCUCGUGUUGUGAAAUGUUGGGUUAAGUCCCGCAACGAGCGCAACCCUUAUCCUUUGUUGCCAGCGGUUAGGCCGGGAACUCAAAGGAGACUGCCAGUGAUAAACUGGAGGAAGGUGGGGAUGACGUCAAGUCAUCAUGGCCCUUACGACCAGGGCUACACACGUGCUACAAUGGCGCAUACAAAGAGAAGCGACCUCGCGAGAGCAAGCGGACCUCAUAAAGUGCGUCGUAGUCCGGAUUGGAGUCUGCAACUCGACUCCAUGAAGUCGGAAUCGCUAGUAAUCGUGGAUCAGAAUGCCACGGUGAAUACGUUCCCGGGCCUUGUACACACCGCCCGUCACACCAUGGGAGUGGGUUGCAAAAGAAGUAGGUAGCUUAACCUUCGGGAGGGCGCUUACCACUUUGUGAUUCAUGACUGGGGUGAAGUCGUAACAAGGUAACCGUAGGGGAACCUGCGGUUGGAUCACCUCCUUACCUUAAAGAAGC